CAAUAGCGUAUAUUUAAGUUGUUGCAGUUAAAAAGCUCGUAGUUGGAUUUCGGGUGUGAACGACCGGUCCGUCUUUGAUGUGUACUGGUUGGUUGCGCCUUAUUGUCGAGGACGUGGUUCUAGCUUUCAUUAGCCGGGACACGGAGUCGGCAGCGUUACUUUGAGAAAAUUAGAGUGUUCAAAGCAGGCUAUCGCUCUGAAUACUACAGCAUGGAAUAACACGAUAGGACUCCGAGCCUAUUCUGUUGGUCUUCGGGACCGGAGUAACGAUUAAGAGGGACAGUUGGGGGCAUUCGUAUUCCGAUGUCAGAGGUGAAAUUCUUGGAUUAUCGGAAGACGAACAUCUGCGAAAGCAUUUGCCAAGGAUGUUUUCAUUAA
RNAcentral lists this ribosomal RNA (378 nucleotides) under uncultured eukaryote. Its description in RNAcentral is "partial 18S ribosomal RNA". It matches the Rfam family "Eukaryotic small subunit ribosomal RNA", at positions 592 to 976 of the family's 1831-position model. The record is from RNAcentral.